CCUACGGGACGCAGCAGUGGGGAAUAUUGGACAAUGGGCGAAAGCCUGAUCCAGCCAUGCCGCGUGUGUGAAGAAGGCCUUCGGGUUGUAAAGCACUUUCAGUGGGGAAGAAAGCCUUGGGGCUAAUACCCUCGAGGAAGGACAUCACCCACAGAAGAAGCACCGGCUAACUCCGUGCCAGCAGCCGCGGUAAUACGGAGGGUGCGAGCGUUAAUCGGAAUUACUGGGCGUAAAGCGCGCGUAGGCGGUCUGAUAAGCCGGUUGUGAAAGCCCCGGGCUCAACCUGGGAACGGCAUCCGGAACUGUCAGGCUAGAGUGCAGGAGAGGAAGGUAGAGUUCCCGGUGUAGCGGUGAAAUGCGUAGAGAUCGGGAGGAAUACCAGGGGCGAAGGCGGCCUUCUGGACUGACACUGACGCUGAGGUGCGAAAGCGUGGGUAGCAAACAGGAUUAGAUACCCGAGUAGUC
RNAcentral lists this ribosomal RNA (465 nucleotides) under Vreelandella stevensii. Its description in RNAcentral is "partial 16S ribosomal RNA". It matches the Rfam family "Bacterial small subunit ribosomal RNA", at positions 338 to 795 of the family's 1533-position model. The record is from RNAcentral. Lineage: Bacteria; Pseudomonadati; Pseudomonadota; Gammaproteobacteria; Oceanospirillales; Halomonadaceae.